RNAcentral lists this ribosomal RNA (2779 nucleotides) under Klebsiella pneumoniae. RNAcentral's name for it is "23S ribosomal RNA". The stretch from base 900 to 2779 matches the Rfam family "Bacterial large subunit ribosomal RNA". The record is from RNAcentral. Lineage: Bacteria; Pseudomonadati; Pseudomonadota; Gammaproteobacteria; Enterobacterales; Enterobacteriaceae.
AUAAGUUUCUUAUUCUUUGCAAAGCAUGGCCUUUGCUAACAGGCUAGGCUAGCGGCCUGAAUCCUUUCCGUCAGCGGUCAGCAUGCGAUAGAGGUAACCGGAGAUGAUCGGACAGCGUCUGAAGCGCCGAAUUAUUGGCGAAUAUUUGCACUCCGCUGCUUGAAAUUACACCGUUUUUUCGCGUAAGAGCACAAAAUGUGAGCAAGAGAACGUUUUAUGCAAAUUUUUAGUUGCAUGAACUCGCUCCUCUCCCUAGAAUGCGCGCUACUUGAUGCCGACUUAGCUCAGUAGGUAGAGCAACUGACUUGUAAUCAGUAGGUCACCAGUUCGAUUCCGGUAGUCGGCACCAUAACAAUUUGGGUGGGGUUCCCGAGCGGCCAAAGGGAGCAGACUGUAAAUCUGCCGUCAUCGACUUCGAAGGUUCGAAUCCUUCCCCCACCACCACUUUCUGGCGACGCUUUGCGGAGCCGGAGUUGGUUGGGUAAACUAAUCAGCUCAAUACUAAAGAGAGCAGUCUCUUUAGUAUUACAGAAAGAACUGGGUAGCCGAGUUUCAGGAUGCGGGCAUCGUAUAAUGGCUAUUACCUCAGCCUUCCAAGCUGAUGAUGCGGGUUCGAUUCCCGCUGCCCGCUCCAGACGUGCUGAUAUGGCUCAGUUGGUAGAGCGCACCCUUGGUAAGGGUGAGGUCCCCAGUUCGACUCUGGGUAUCAGCACCACUUCUUUUCUCUCCUUCCCUGUUUCUCUUCUGUUAUGUUCAUUCAACAAGUCGGGCAUGUUGCCUGGUUGAUGUGGUGAUAUCACCGAUUUAUCCGUGUCUUAGAGGGACAAUCGAUGUCUAAAGAAAAGUUUGAACGUACAAAACCGCACGUUAACGUCGGUACUAUCGGCCACGUUGACCAUGGUAAAACAACGCUGACCGCUGCCAUCACUACCGUACUGGCUAAAACCUACGGUGGUUCCGCUCGCGCAUUCGACCAGAUCGAUAACGCGCCGGAAGAAAAAGCUCGUGGUAUCACCAUCAACACCUCUCACGUUGAAUAUGACACCCCGACUCGCCACUACGCGCACGUAGACUGCCCGGGCCACGCCGACUAUGUUAAAAACAUGAUCACCGGUGCUGCGCAGAUGGACGGCGCGAUCCUGGUUGUUGCUGCGACUGACGGCCCGAUGCCGCAGACUCGUGAGCACAUCCUGCUGGGUCGUCAGGUAGGCGUUCCGUACAUCAUCGUGUUCCUGAACAAAUGCGACAUGGUUGAUGACGAAGAGCUGCUGGAACUGGUUGAGAUGGAAGUUCGUGAACUGCUGUCUCAGUACGAUUUCCCGGGCGACGGUUGUCCCGGUUUAAGCAUGUAGGCUGAUUGUCCAGGCAAAUCCGGAUAAUCAAGGCUGAGGUGUGAUGACGAGGCACUACGGUGCUGAAGUAACAAAUGCCCUGCUUCCAGGAAAAGCCUCUAAGCAUCAGGUAACAUCAAAUCGUACCCCAAACCGACACAGGUGGUCAGGUAGAGAAUACCAAGGCGCUUGAGAGAACUCGGGUGAAGGAACUAGGCAAAAUGGUGCCGUAACUUCGGGAGAAGGCACGCUGGUGUGUAGGUGAAGCCCCUGCGGGUGGAGCUGAGACCAGUCGAAGAUACCAGCUGGCUGCAACUGUUUAUUAAAAACACAGCACUGUGCAAACACGAAAGUGGACGUAUACGGUGUGACGCCUGCCCGGUGCCGGAAGGUUAAUUGAUGGGGUUAUCCGUAAGGAGAAGCUCUUGAUCGAAGCCCCGGUAAACGGCGGCCGUAACUAUAACGGUCCUAAGGUAGCGAAAUUCCUUGUCGGGUAAGUUCCGACCUGCACGAAUGGCGUAAUGAUGGCCAGGCUGUCUCCACCCGAGACUCAGUGAAAUUGAACUCGCUGUGAAGAUGCAGUGUACCCGCGGCAAGACGGAAAGACCCCGUGAACCUUUACUAUAGCUUGACACUGAACAUUGAGCCUUGAUGUGUAGGAUAGGUGGGAGGCUUUGAAGCGUGGACGCCAGUCUGCGUGGAGCCAACCUUGAAAUACCACCCUUUAAUGUUUGAUGUUCUAACGUUGGCCCCUUACCGGGGUUGCGGACAGUGUCUGGUGGGUAGUUUGACUGGGGCGGUCUCCUCCCAAAGCGUAACGGAGGAGCACGAAGGUUAGCUAAUCCUGGUCGGACAUCAGGAGGUUAGUGCAAUGGCAUAAGCUAGCUUGACUGCGAGCGUGACGGCGCGAGCAGGUGCGAAAGCAGGUCAUAGUGAUCCGGUGGUUCUGAAUGGAAGGGCCAUCGCUCAACGGAUAAAAGGUACUCCGGGGAUAACAGGCUGAUACCGCCCAAGAGUUCAUAUCGACGGCGGUGUUUGGCACCUCGAUGUCGGCUCAUCACAUCCUGGGGCUGAAGUAGGUCCCAAGGGUAUGGCUGUUCGCCAUUUAAAGUGGUACGCGAGCUGGGUUUAGAACGUCGUGAGACAGUUCGGUCCCUAUCUGCCGUGGGCGCUGGAGAAUUGAGGGGGGCUGCUCCUAGUACGAGAGGACCGGAGUGGACGCAUCACUGGUGUUCGGGUUGUCAUGCCAAUGGCACUGCCCGGUAGCUAAAUGCGGAAGAGAUAAGUGCUGAAAGCAUCUAAGCACGAAACUUGCCCCGAGAUGAGUUCUCCCUGAGACUUUAAGUCUCCUGAAGGAACGUUGAAGACGACGACGUUGAUAGGCCGGGUGUGUAAGCGCAGCGAUGCGUUGAGCUAACCGGUACUAAUGAACCGUGAGGCUUAACCUU